AAGUACGUAGAUGCUAAGACUAGAUCACAUGGAACUAACUAGCUGGCUGCGCCAUUGGUGAUGGGGUGCUGUUGAGAUAUUGUAGCUUGUUUGGUAGGUAUAAUAUCUACUGCUGAAGUAGUGAUGUCUUUCCACGAAUCUCCUUAACGUUGUAUGCAUAUGUCAACAGUAGAUACUUCCUAGGACUCAGGUAUAUGGGUAAUUGUGCAGGUAAGCUUGAAAUGUCAAUUUGGAAAAGAAAUCAAAGAUUGACGCUCAGCUUUGCUUCUCACGCAUAGGGCGUUGUGAUGCUUCCAAUCAUAUAUCUUGACUUUAGGUCUUCUAGGAUCUCAACGGUGCUUGCUUCUUAUAUUUGUCAAGUUAUAUUUGGUCGUUGGUGCUUGGUGCUUGGUGCUACUAGAGGGUGAGAAGAAAAGAGAACAUAUGAGUGUUUAUUUUGCAAUUAGUAAAGAGCACUGAAAAUUGCUGUUAUUUUUGCCGAAGGCCUCUCUUGUUCACCUCUUGUUUAUGUUUGUAUGAGGUACUCUGCUCUGUCAUGCAAUAGAUGACAUAUCUGAAUUCUGGACUAUGCCAUCUGAGAGAUCUUGGAUUGGGCAGGCUUAUCCUCUUGUCGGUAUUCCUCAUGCUAGGAUGCCUCUGCCCCUUGACCUGGCAGGAGCAGAUGGGCCUGUUUAUGUACAAUACUUAGCAGUAUCACGGGAUUUUGAGACGAAGAUAAGCACAUGGUAAGCUUGAAAAGCAGCCGAUCAAAGUUAGAAGGGUGAAUUGCCCUUUUCAUACUUGUUGAUUUUGGAAGUUCCUUCUGGCCUUUGCCAGUUAUAAAAAUUAAUUAUAAAGCUCUUUUUUUCCCGAUUUGAAGAUUCUGCUCGUGUUUGCUUCCUUAGCCACGUGCUAUGCUGUCAUUAGAUGCCAUUUUUAGGACAUUUUGGGAAAUAGUCCAACUGCACACUUCAUCUUCGUUAUAGCUUUUGCGGCUACCUCAGUAUUUAAUUGAUUUGGGAUAAACUUAACUGAUAUCUUUGCUUUGCUUGUUCUCUGAUAUGGUGUCAUUCCUUUCUCUUGUCUUGGUUUAAUUGGAUCUAUAGCCGUAUAUUCAUGAGACGCGGCACCAGCAUGCCAUGAGAAGAGUCGGGAAGUAGAGGGCGGUUUCUUCAAGAAAAAUCAAGGCUUCAAAUGAUGCAGCCGAAGAGAAGGGAACAAACUUGGUCAGGCUCUGUCUUCCCAAUCUGCCAGUUCAUUGGGCUCUCUGAACCUUUUGCACCUGACUUCUCUGAAACCUGGAAUUCAUCUAGUAAACACAUGGUAGGAAGGAAGGCCGCAAGAAGGGUGUCAACGCUUCAAUUUGAUUUGGAUUUUCAGCAAAUCCGAACUGAACUAACCGUUAAGGUUAGUAGCUGAACCGAACUGAACUACAAUCCAAACUAAAUACGACCUGAACAAAAACUUAGUUCGGCUCGAUUUGCUUAUUUGGUUUUGUCUUCAUAUUUUUUAAUGAUAAAAAUGCCUUUUUUUCCUAAUUUACUUGUCCUGUGUUUACUUUAUUUUUAUUUGGGUGGGGGCAGGGGAUUAGACUAAUCUGGUCUAGGAAAAAUAGAGUAAAAGAACAGCUAAAGUAAUUUACAUAAUUAUGACCAAAAUCAAAGGGUUAAAGAUUGGGUGGUUAUUCAAUGAGUGCGUAAGAGUUAAAAAUAAGAGGGAAGACACUUUAUCAUUUAGGUAACUCAAUUUGCUUGCAAUUGCUUUUAUUGGUGGGCCCGUCAACUCUUGAGUUUCAUUCUUAAUAUGAUGUAGUCGAGAUGGUGCCGGAUCGAGCAAAGAAAUUGCAUCUCCUUGAGCAACUGAUUUCUAAAGCCAUCUCUCUGUUUCACUCCGAAGUAAAUCCAAGCUUCAUAAUUGCAUUUUGCUUUUAGAAUUUGACUUUAAGAGAGAGCCAACUCCUUCCGAAUCGAACAUCAACACCCUCAAUAGGAACCAUCUUUUUGUUGACCAUGCCAUUAGCCCGCGAAACCAAUGACAUUAUUACUAUAUAUGGGCAUAAAUUAAUGUAGUUUUAAUUGGUAAAUAUCAUGUGUAGAUAAAAGCUUAUGCAGUUUAAUCCACAAGGAUGUUGUUACAAGUGAAAACAUAUACAU
Molecule: long non-coding RNA, 2132 nt
Filed under: Eucalyptus grandis
Lineage: Eukaryota; Viridiplantae; Streptophyta; Magnoliopsida; Myrtales; Myrtaceae
Description: long non-coding RNA (EGRA_LNC001858)
Source: RNAcentral